CCAUUUGCCAGGGCCUCGCUCGAGCCGGCGCCUCGGUUCCUGCCCAGCUGGAUUUGGGGGGCAGCAUUGCCUGGCGCAGGGAGAUCAAAUGAGACUGCAAAGAAGCAUAAAAUGAAUAGACAAUCCAACCAACCAAAGACCGGGGGCAGCAGCAGGCCAGCAAGACGGCAUCUUCUCCUUCCCAGCCUAGAAGCCCUGUGAAAUCGAGGAUCUUCCCCCUAAAACACAUACACACAAGAUAUGUGCAAUCAAGCUGCCACCGCUUGGUAAAAAGCCAUGGUGCCUAACCAAAAAGGAUCAGGAACAGAUCCUUGAAUCAGCUGUCACUUCUAUAGAAUGGGAUUUUUUUUUCCUUCCUCCUUAACCUGCGCUGGAAAUUGCCGUUGGCUUUAUACAUCUCUAUAGAGAGAGGCUAAAGAGUCUUGCGUGAGAAAGAAGCAAUUUACAAUGCAAAUAGAGGCCUGUGAAGGGACGGAUGCUGCUGCUCACUCGUAACAGCUUGCUGCACCUUAAUAGCUGGUUUUAUUUUCUGAUAUUAAUAGAUGAAUUGUUGGCUAACGCUGCCGGAGAUUACUUGCUGAAAGGAAAAAGAAAAGUUCGGAAUAAACUCUGAAGGCAACAGAUCUCGUUUGGAUGUUUUAGCCGCGCACACACACAAACAGAAACCAGGUCAUAUUUACAUAAAAGGAGGAAUCUUAAGCGCGGCAAGUAUCCUGGACGACCACUCUUCGGUACUGCCAGAAAGGAUCAGGACCUGGAGUCUGGCAAGAGGAAGACAGAGGCCUGUGUGGGAAGCGAGUUGUUAUCUUUGGUUAUCUAGCUGUAUGAGUGUAUUGGUCUUCAUAAAGCUAGAUAACCGAAAGUAAAAACUCCUUCAAGAUCGCCGGGGAGCGUGUGAGAAUGAAAGACUACAGCCGAGAGACAGUAAAAACCAGAAAGGAAAUUGCUUUGGAGAUGAGGAAACAAACUCUUAUGGAGACCUAAGAGACUGAAGACAUCUGGCGUGGACUACUCUGAUGGUAAAAUUGAAAGUACACCUAAAUUUGCUUUGUUACAGGAUUCUCUUCAGAGGACAAGAGAAGAUGUUACAUUCUCUGCAUGAGGACAAUUCUGCAGCAUCAAAAUCGAAUAAUAUUUGUUUUCUGGCAGCAGAAUUUUGUAUCAUAUUUCUAAAGACAGUAAGCACUUGGGUGGACGUCAAUGAAUACUAAACACUAAUUGAUCUGAUACAGCCGUAUGCACAUACACAGAUAUACAUGGUGGCUUGUAAUGGUUGAAAAAUUACGGUUUGGUUUUAUUAAAAGAUCUGUCACUUUUAGGUCAGAGUGGGAUUUUGGAGGGAUAGUCUCCCACAAUAGAAAACUACCCUGACAACAGUGGUGUUUUGAGGUUGUUUGUUGUUUGGCUUCUUGAUGAUGCUUAGCUAAGGAGACACUUCCUUUCAGAUUCUGUCUUCCAAACCCCAGGGCUCUGUUCUGGGCAGUUCAGCCUAAUGGAAUUAAGCCUGACAUGUUUCAACUCUAUUUCUUGAUAAAAUAAACAUAAAACAAUGGUUUAGAUUUCGAAUAAAACUCUUGAAGCAUGGGGUACUCUAACUUUCCCUGUUCUUUACACAUCUGUAAAUAAAGUGCAUAAAAGAGGAACACAACAGGAUAAAUCAACAUAAAUUUGAAAUCCACUGCAGCAUAUUAAAUGGCGCAGUCUCAGUCAAAGAGAGGCUGACCCCGCGGCUUCGUGCAGUUUGAAGCUAAUUGUUUUCGUCAGGAUGGGAACGUCUGGAAGUCCAUGGCUGUAUCCCACCAGUAAGGCUCCAGUAACUGAGCCGGCCCACAGAGAAUGGGCCCACUUUGUAGCGACACAGCGGGCUCAGACACCACCUAUUCUGCUCUCCAAACUGUCAUGCAUAACAACUUUAUUGUGCUAAAUUGAACUUGAAAGCAACCAAAGGCUAUGAGAAGGAGAGGCUAUGAGAAAAGCGUGCUGUCAGCGCCGGCAAAGGCUGACCUGGAAAGUAGGCUCAGAGACAGGGGAAUAAAAGACCAGGCCCCAUGAACACAGCAUAUUGUUUCAUUUUAAAGUAUGAUUCCCAUACCAGAGAAAGUAGCAAAUGUGAUGUAAAUUUAUUUAAAUAGAUUCGACCGCUUAAAAGUUUGCCAGCCGCUCUUAUCCAACUUUCCCAGCUCUCUGAUUCGUUACUUACAGUGGGAAUAUAAUGACAUAUAGUCAUCAUUGUAACAGCUUCUUUGCAGGGGCACAAUGAUGAUUAAUAGCCAGCAGCAAAUUUUCACAUGGGCUCUGAAGCACUAUGGCAUUAAGCAGCCAAACAGUCCCAAAUCCCCCUUUUCUGUUCCGCUGAAAAGUCCCCUCCUUGUACCUUCCAGAUAGGAACAAAGCCUAUCUUAAUUCCAAUCAGCUUUUCGUCAUUCAAAGGGACCUUCUCUUUUUCAUAAUUGAUUCAUGUGCAUUUUUUAGUGUUCCACUGAGCUGAAGCCACUUUUCUCCUUUCCUCUGUUCUGUCCCCACACCCACACCCCCUUUUUUUGAGGGGGUGAGGAGUGGGAAACAUUUCAACAACAACAACAACAGUAAAAAAUGGUGUGGUAGUUUCCCCCGCAAAUAUUUGCUAAAUAGAUUUCUCAAUUAGUAUUAGCUUUACACUUAAAAGUCUUAAAACAAAAAUUAACUCCUGGACUUCUUUUUUGUUGGAAGUGGUUUUGGUUAUAAAAAUAUGAGCUUACUGAAAUAGCUCUGGUGGCAGCCCCACAAUCAUGUUCUGUUUCACUGGGAGAGUUUGAGUAGCUUUCCUUCCCACCAGAGACUCACAGCUGGAGUGAGGAUGGAGUCUCUUGCUUCAGACAGAUUCUUUUUCCUCCUCUGUGCUGGUAGCCAUCAAAAAAAGAACAAGUGACCAAAAUGAAAGGCGGCAAAUGCACACCUCCUAACCCACUCUGUCCUUCUUAAGUAUCAUUUUUCCCCAUAGUAAUCGUACAUUAUAAUUAUUAGCAGAAGCUCCUGUGCUAUUUGUGGAAGUGCUCUCUCUCGUCUAUAGUUUUCACCUCCUGUGAUAACGACACAAACGACAUCAACCAGUGCUGUCUUGGAAAAAGAUUUCCAUCCGCAAAUUCAUUUGUGUUUCUAUGACAAUAUGAUGGCCAUAGAGCACAGUUUUAGUAGAUAUACUUUGCAUAUUUGUUUACAUUCCUUACAAAUCUGACCUCAUUUUUCUAUAUGAGUAGGGUGACCACACACCCCUGUUUUCUCAGGACUAGCUGUAUUUAUGCCUAUUGUCCUUACAUAAUUAUUAACAGUACUUCCUUUCACCCUCAAAAGUAUCCUGAUUUGAACAAUUUGAAAAACUCAUGACGUUUUGCCAUUAAAAUGGCCCCAAAUGACUUACACAAACCCAAAGGGUGGGCUGUCUCCUACCCAGGUGGCUGGGGACUGCUUUAUACCAUCCCAGUUUAGGGGAAAGAAUCAAACUUGGAAACCCUGCUGCCGAUGUAGCAGCACCGACUUUUGUCUCGCCCACUUUGAAGAGGUCAGUUGACCCUAUACAGCUUCUUUGAUAUGUGACAGAAAGGAGGUCAUUUGCUGAAAUGAAAGACACAUUACAAACCAGAUUUUAAGUGUGACUCUUUCCUUCAGCUGGGUCACAGUUCUUACUUUGAGCCAGAGCAACACACUUUACUGGUCAGAUAAAAAUACUCUGCCAUAUUUUAGAAUAAUGACCUUUCUUAUGCUUUGGUGUCUCCAAAUGGUUAAAUGGAGAAUAUAUCCAAUUGACAGGAGGAAUUCUGUUCAUCAUUUUUACUCUUGUGUUUAUAUCUUCUCAUAAAAAAAAAACAUGUGAAAAUGGCAUCAUGUAUCUCUAUUGUAUUUUUCAUUCAAAAAUCUCAAACAGGUGAGUGUAAUCCAGUCUUUAGGUUAUAGGACCAAAGACUCUCAAAGACUGUUACAAACCCCCGGACAGUGUCCCUAAGGGCUGGACUUUGCAUGUGGAUUACCGAGUUAACUGAGAGAUGUGUAAUAUCAUCUGUAGUCAGAAAACUCCCUACUCCCUAUAUGGAGCAACCAAGGACAUUCACAUGUGUUGCUUACUCUUGAAAGUAUAUGGGAUAAAUGGGCUCCUGAUAUGCUAGUUUCAGAAUAACUAUGGCAGGACCUUAAAAUUUCCCACUUUCCAUAAGAUCAUAGCUCAUAUUCAAUUACUGGCAGGAUAAACAUGUAAGAUUAUUAACUCUGCCUUACUAGUUCUUUUAGAGGAGCAUAGCCCCUUGAUGAAGGCAUUGUUCUAAGCCAAAUCUGGACCUAUCCAAUCUUUAUUCAUGCAUUUUAUCCGCUUUCUUAGAUCAUUCUUUCAGAAAUGAAAUGAGUGAGGUACAUGAAAUAUAUUUUCUGAUGCACUCUUUUUAAAAUAAAAUACUUUUUAUGGUUGUGCAUUUAUUUGUGAAGUGAAUGUUUAGAAAACUUUAAAACCAAUUCUACCAUUCUGUCCUUCUUUCAUGGUGAUAACCAACUGUUCUGUUUAAUAGGAUGAUGGAAUUGGUUACCACUAAAGUCCAGCCCUUAGAAAUUACUCUGUAUUUUUAGGCCCUAGACGUUUAUAAGUCUAUGAGAAUCUAACAAGGAGAAUUGGUUUCUCCUAACAAUUCUAUUAUCUUGUAGGUGGCUGUGUCCAUUCUUAAAACUUUUGGCUCAUCUUACCAGAUUUUUUACAAAGAUGCAGAUGUUCCUUAAAAGUGGCUGAAAGAUUAGGAGUUCCUUAAAAGUGGCUGAAAGAUUAGGGACUUUGUGCCUGAUGUGCUGGAAUAUGCCCGAGUUCUGUUAAAUCUGAUUUAACCAUAUUAAAUCAAAUCUUUUCUGAUGUAUUCUUAUGCCCUCAUUUUCAUGUAAUGUUACUACUAUGAAGAAGUGUAAUUAAGACUUUGAUAUGAGCCUUCACAGUCUAAAGAGUGCUUCAGUGACAACAGUUUUAUUAGAUUAUGGUGAUGGGCCUGGCUGUGAAAUUCCCACAUUCAUGAACGACUCUGCUUUUUACUGGCUAAAAACAGGAUUUUAAAAUGCAAUGACCUUUGGGACUCUCAGAUAAGUUGCCUCUUCAACCCUGAGGUUAUUUGAUGAAUUGCUGGGGACAUACAGAAGGAUGGAUUAAUGAAUGCUGUGCUCAUCUUGUCUACUGGCACCAUCUGAGGGACUGAAGAUCAGGGUGCCUCUUUAGACUUUGGCUUGAGAUUACAAUGUUACCCCCCUCUUUGCUCUAGUAACUCCAUCCUCUCCACUCCAUCACUCUCUAUUAUCUCUAGGAUGCCGUAAAGCACUUACAGUUAUUUUUCCUCACAGUGGAAAAUCUCUUUAUACAAACUAUAUAAACUGAGACCCACUGUCCUUAUACAAUCAGGGCCAACCUCUUUCCCACCAAAGACUAAUUCUGCCCGGAUGCCCAGGAUAGUUAUUUUACGUACAUACACUAUCCAUACCCUAAUCCCAAGCCAGGUAAAUAUAUAUGUAAUAUCCGAGGUGGAUGUUUUUAUUACAUGGUGCCUACAUUUAGAAGUAUAAAAUCUCUUAAUUGGUUCCCAUCCUGAUUUUUUUAUAAACUCAAGCUUUUCGGGUCUUUACUUUGAUUUUCCAUAUUUUUCUUUUCUCUUUGUACUUGCUAACAGAACUCUGGUUUCUUUUCAGAUACCAUGCAAAAAAUAGGCUCAGAUAAGGCACACGUAUGCCCAUGAGUCAUAAUUCAUCUAUCCCUUUCAUCAUAAUUCCAUUCUCCUUUGCCAGGGAUUGGUUUAGGGACGGGCAUGUGACUCAUUCACCAAAUGAACAUAAAAAGAAAUCUGUUGGGAUUGAUUUUCCUUUUGUAAAAAAUAAAAGAGACAAACUCAUGAGGAAAAUCUCAUGUUCCUCCAUGUUUUUAAAUCUUAUUUCAUGAGGAUGGGGGCUUGGAGUUGUGGCAACAAUAACAGAGAAGCCAAGAGAAUCCUAAAAAAGCUGACCCAGAGAUGUGACAUUUGUGAGAUGUUAAUUAACCACCUUGGAAACUGUCACUUCUAGACUUCUUGUCAUCUGAAAUAAUAAACCCCUAUUACUCAAGUCAUACCUUGUUGGGAAUUCUGUUACUUGCAACCCAAAGCACAGUAACUGAAUCCCUCACCUUCUCUUUUACCAGUUAUUUCUUAGUUCACGUAUCUUUUCUAGCUUCUCUCAGUCAACUUGAUAGGAUAAUAGAACUCAGACUAUUGCAGUUGGCGGCAUGUAGAGAUCACCUCAUUAAAUCAAAUUUGACAUACUUAAUUUACUGUAGAGGAAAUAAACCUGGGAAGCAACAAAAAUUAAUCUAAGGUCAUACAGGUAGUCUAGUCGCAACAGAAUUAGAGUAAAAUUCUGGUUUUCUGAAUUGCAGUCAAGUCUCUCUACAACAAUUUGGUCCAAUUUCCCCUAUUGCUCUGCACUCUCUCAAUCCAGCCACAGUUCAUUAAAGAUUGGCAUGCUGUACAUCUUAUAUAUGAAGUACAUAAUAUAGGCUGAGCUCAGUGGCUCACGCCUGUAAUCCCAGCACUUUGGGAGGCUGAGGUGGGUGGAUCACUUGAAGUCAGGAGUUUGAGACCAGCCUGACCAACAUGGUGAAACCUCAUCUCUACUAAAAAUAUAAAAAUUAGCUGGGCCUGGUGGCACAUGCCCUUAGUCCCAGCUACUCAGGAGGCUGAGACAGGGUAAUUGCUUGAACCCGGGAGGCAGAGCUGCAGUGAGCCGAGAUCGUGCCACUGCACUUCAGCCUGGGUGAACAGAGCGAGACUCCAUUUCAAAAAAGUAAAAGAAAAAAUUAAUAAAAAUAAAGUACAUAAGAUAAAUCACAUCUAUAAAAAAUAGUUAAAGCAUACAUCCAUACAUACACCCAAUUUGUCAAAGGAAUUUAGUUAUCAAAGGACAUUUUCAUGGACUCCUAGGAAGAUCACUAUGUCACAGUUUCCCUGGAACUAAGAUGUCUUUAUUUAAAUAUUAUUUGGUAAUCUCCACAUCAUUUUGUGUGUUUUGCAUAUUGAAUUUGUAAGGUCCUAAUUUCAGAUAUAUAAAAUAUAUACAAUGCACUGAGAUUAUAUUCAAAUCUGAUAUCUGGGAAAAAUGCACAAGAGAUGAGUUGUUCAAAUCUGUCCACAUCAUCCAUUCUAAAAUUUGGAGAUAUGAUGCUGAAUCCUAGGUCAGUUAACUAUACAUAGGUGUUGUGCAUACUUUCACAUUGUGGUGAGCAAUGAGGGAGAAGGGAUAGAUAAGAGAGCAAGAGAUGGGCUGCUCUUUAGCCCUUGCAUUUUGGGACCAGGCAGGUUCUGGGUCGUUUCUCAUUGCUCUUUGCUCACAGUCCCAGCAUAACACUGAUUUUUUUUUAAAAUGUGAGGUAUUAAUAUUUUGGGUAGCGAUUCCUCUUGAUGGCUAUUACAGUAAAUUCCAGCAGCCAGUAUAAUCAGCGCAAAGUGAGAUGGGCUGUUUAAUCAAUUAAAUUAAACAUAGUUUAAUGCGCAGAAGAGUUCAUUUUUUAAAUUUUUUUUUAAAAUUGUGGUAAGAUAUCCAUAACAUAUUGCUUACUAUUUUCAUUAUUUUUAAGUGUACAGUUCAGGGGCAUUAAGUACAUUCACAUUGUGCAACCAUCACCACCAUCCAUCCACAGAACUUUUUUCAUCUUGCAGAACUGAAACUCUGUACCCAUUAAACAAUAACUCUCCAUUAACCCCUCCCACCAGCCCCUGGUACCUACCAUUCUACUAUCUGUUUCUGUUAUACACUAUUUGUCCUUCUGUGACUGGCUUAUUUCACUUAGCAUAAAGUCUUCAAGCAUAUAUCAGAAUUUUCUUCCUUUUUAAUGCUGAAUAAUAUUUCAUUGUAUGUAUACACCCCAUUUUGUUUAUCUGUUCCUCCAUCAAUGGACACUUGAGUUGCUUCCACCUUUUGGUGAUUGAGAAUAAUGCUGCUGGGAGCAUGAGUGAUGUGGUCUGGUUCUGUGCCCCCACCCAAAUCUCAUCUUGCAUUGUAAUCUGAGUAUGUUGGGGGAGGUACCUCAUGGGAGGUGAUUAGAUCAUGGGGACAGUCCCCAUGCUGUUCUCAUGAUAGGGAGUGAGUUCUCAUGAGAUCUAAUGGUUUUACAAGGGUCUUUUCUGCCUUUGCUUGGCACUUCUCCAUCCUGCUGCCAUGUGAAGAAGGACAUGUUUGCUUCCCCUUCUACUAUGAUUGUAAGUUUCCUGAGGCCUCCCCAACCGUGCUGAACUGUGAGUC
Homo sapiens (human) is the source of this 8262-nucleotide long non-coding RNA. Ensembl annotates it as MIR9-2 host gene. Its record names the gene MIR9-2HG. The record is from Ensembl. Lineage: Eukaryota; Metazoa; Chordata; Mammalia; Primates; Hominidae.